RNAcentral lists this long non-coding RNA (1257 nucleotides) under Cyanistes caeruleus (blue tit). Its description in RNAcentral is "lncRNA (ENSCCEG00000011616.1)". The record is from RNAcentral. Lineage: Eukaryota; Metazoa; Chordata; Aves; Passeriformes; Paridae.
GGAAGGCUCAGUGACAACAGUUGCUCAGUGCUCACUGCCCAGUAUCUGCCUCCUUACCAUGCCACUAUAAUAGUUGGGAACCCAUCAACAAUUAAGCAUCUUCUAUACAAAUAUGUUGCAGACCAUCUGUAUAGUUCUCAGUUCCAGAAGAUUCCAGUAACUCACUAAGUUUUAAUAUUAUUUUUUUUUUCUUCUUAAUCUGAUGGGCUGCCCUGAGAUAAGUGAUUAAAGCAAAAAGCCUGACAUAAUUUCUUCGGAGCUAAAACUGCACAGAAGUUGCCAAUUCCUGUAUUUGUUUUCUUACAAGAAACUUGAAGCAGGCAUUUUCCACUGUUAACAAUUUUUAGGUUCUAUCAAGUCAUAUUUUUUUUUCUUUUUGGUCAGAAAAAUAUUUUGGUGAAAAUUAUUGCUAACAUAAUCUUAGAAAAUAUUUGAACAGGCAAUUCUGAAGUUUUUCCAGAGACUUGUUGGUGUUAUAGAGACCAGUAGAGAGCUGCAUGGUCAACUCAUGUCACUUCUGUCACCCUGCUGAAUGCCACAUCACACUGCCAAUGCUCAGGAGCACUGACUGCUGGCUUCUGCAAGAAUGGAAGGAAAGGAAGACAUGGACACAUUGGCUACAUCUAAACUACUAAAAAAGUUAGUCAGAGAAUUUUCCUGCAGACCAACUGGCAUGAAAGAACUUGAAUCCACGCAGCUAAACUCUCUUGCCCUCCAAAUCACGGUGGCCACAUCCAAAAUAUCUAUUGGUGAUGGUGCCUGAACUGGGCUUUGUUUGAACCCAAGCUGUGCUUUGGCAUUGUCUGGAAGAGCAUGAACAGGCUUGCACCAAAACCAUGCCAAGGACCAGUUUAGCGUACGGAUGGUUUCGGGACCAUGCCUUGCUGGUCUUGUUUAGUUUUUUUAGUGUCAGAGGGAAACCUCAGUAAUUCUGCCAGGAGUCAACAGGAAACCCUUUCUGGCCUCAGUGACCAGAAGCUGCUGAGAAGUAUAAUCAUUAGACAAGUACUAUGCAUAUGCAUGGCCCAACACUUCUACCUUGCUCCCUAUCACUGCAGGAGGAUUGGGAUAAUUCUUCUGUUUGCACCAGAUCAGAGGCAAACAUGUGAGUGCUUAGAAGAAAAUACUCCUGAACACAAGCCGUUGUUGAAGUUUACCUCUGAUGACAUCUUUGGGAAACACACUGAAACACCCCAUAGGAACAAGGAAUGCAUAAAGCCUGCAAGCUCUUUAACAGGUGGAAAAGUCAUUCUGUGA